This 306-nucleotide unclassified non-coding RNA is filed under the name plant metagenome. RNAcentral describes it as "partial contains 5.8S ribosomal RNA, internal transcribed spacer 2, and large subunit ribosomal RNA". The stretch from base 1 to 105 matches the Rfam family "5.8S ribosomal RNA", at positions 50 to 154 of the family's 154-position model. The record is from RNAcentral.
GAAAUGCGAUAAGUAAUGUGAAUUGCAGAAUUCAGUGAAUCAUCGAAUCUUUGAACGCACAUUGCGCCCGCCAGUAUUCUGGCGGGCAUGCCUGUCCGAGCGUCAUUUCAACCAUCAAGCCCCCGGGCUUGUGUUGGGGACCUGCGGCUGCCCGCAGGCCCUGAAAACCAGUGGCGGGCUCGCUGUCACACCGAGCGUAGUAGCAAUCACCUCGCUCAGGGCGUGCUGCGGGUUCCGGCCGUUAAACAGCCUUACAAAACCCAAGGUUGACCUCGGGUCAGGUAGGAAGACCCGCUGAACUUAGGC